Molecule: ribosomal RNA, 794 nt
Filed under: uncultured bacterium
Lineage: Bacteria
Description: bacterial SSU rRNA
Rfam family: Bacterial small subunit ribosomal RNA
Source: RNAcentral
AGAGUUUGAUCCUGGCUCAGGAUGAACGCUAGCGACAGGCUUAACACAUGCAAGUCGAGGGGCAGCAUAAAAGUAGCAAUACUUUGGUGGCGACCGGCGCACGGGUGAGUAACGCGUAUGCAACCUACCUAUCAGAGGGGAAUAACCCGGCGAAAGUCGGACUAAUACCGCAUAAAACAGGGGCACCGCAUGGUGAUAUUUGUUAAAGAGAUUCGCUGAUAGAUGGGCAUGCGUUCCAUUAGGUGGUUGGUGAGGUAACGGCUCACCAAGCCGACGAUGGAUAGGGGAACUGAGAGGUUGGUCCCCCACACUGGUACUGAGACACGGACCAGACUCCUACGGGAGGCAGCAGUGAGGAAUAUUGGUCAAUGGGCGGGAGCCUGAACCAGCCAAGUCGCGUGAAGGAAGAAGGAUCUAUGGUUCGUAAACUUCUUUUGCAGGGGAAUAAAGUGCGGGACGUGUCCUGUUUUGUAUGUACCCUGAGAAUAAGGACCGGCUAACUCCGUGCCAGCAGCCGCGGUAAUACGGAGGAUCCGAGCGUUAUCCGGAUUUAUUGGGUUUAAAGGGUGCGUAGGUGGUUUGAUAAGUCAGCGGUGAAAGUUUGCAGCUUAACUGUAAAAAUGCCGUUGAAACUGUCGGACUUGAGUGUAAAUGAGGUAGGCGGAAUGCGUGGUGUAGCGGUGAAAUGCAUAGAUAUCACGCAGAACUCCGAUUGCGAAGGCAGCUUACUAAGCUACAACUGACACUGAAGCACGAAAGCGUGGGGAUCAAACAGGAUUAGAUACCCCGGUAGU